UUAGGCACCCCUUUUCAAAGUGCCUGAAAAAAUACGUACGCAUUUUACAACUUGCUAAGGAAGCUGUUACUUUCACACCUCUUAACCGGUAAAGAAAAGUCCCGAUCCUCUUCUUCCCCUGCCCUGUUUCUCUCUCGCUCCGAGCUCUCUCCCGUCACCCCGCCGCCUGCGUCGCCGCUCGGUGAUGGCCCUCGCCGGCCACCCGGUCUCCCCGCUCACCGGCGCAGAUCCGGCUGUUCCUCCUGGUCGAUUACACCCCCCGUGCACCUCGUCCUCACCUUCCCUCGCCCCUGCCCUAUUCGCUCCCCCGCUCGAGCCCUAACCUGCGCGCGCCUCUCCAAUGGCGCUUCCCGCUUGAAUAAGGCGGUCACCGCGGCUGCUGGAGGAGCACGUUCACAAGGCCUCCGCCGCGGCCGCGUGUCGCCCUCCAUGUCCAGGGGAUCGGCGGUUGCUCGAGACGACCACCACCGCCUCGUUGUGCACUCCUCCACGUCCAGGGGAUUGGCGGUUGCUCGAGGCGACAACAACUGCCUCGUCGUGCCCUCCUCCGUUCCCAAGGUCGUCUGCUCCGAAGAUAUGAAUAUCUCAUGGAUCAAGUAAAAUGCUGCUACUUGGUGCAAAGAAAUGUCUGAUACCUUUUCCUCCUUUAUUUACAACUAGGAAAAAUGUCCGUGCUUGCACCGGAAGAGGCAAAAUGAUACGUCGCAAAGUACUAUUUUUGUGAUAUAUUUUCUAGAUACUGAAGAAUUCCAGUUCUGGAUAAAGCGAAUUAUUCGUCUAAUUUCACUUAUAAUUUCUAGGACAAAAAAAUCAUAGAAAUUGCUUAGACUUCGAUAA
Long non-coding RNA from Lolium perenne, 837 nucleotides. RefSeq lists it as uncharacterized. Lineage: Eukaryota; Viridiplantae; Streptophyta; Magnoliopsida; Poales; Poaceae. The record is from RefSeq and is a predicted model, not a curated record.